UACAUGCAGUCGAACGAGAUUUAAGACUUCGGUUUUAAUGAAAGUGGCGCACGGGUGCGUAACGCGUAUGCAACCUACCCUGUACAGGGGGAUAGCCCGGAGAAAUCUGGAUUAAUACCCCAUGGUAUCCCGAAGUCGCAUGGCUUUCGGGAUUAAAGAUUUAUCGGUAUAGGAUGGGCAUGCGUCUGAUUAGCUAGUUGGCGGUGUAACGGACCACCAAGGCGACGAUCAGUAGGGGUUCUGAGAGGAAGGUCCCCCACACUGGCACUGAGAUACGGGCCAGACUCCUACGGGAGGCAGCAGUAGGGAAUAUUGGGCAAUGGACGAGAGUCUGACCCAGCCAUGCCGCGUGCAGGAAGACGGCGUUCUGCGUUGUAAACUGCUUUUAUCUGGGAAGAAAAUGCCCCUGCGGGGGAAAUUGCCGGUACCAGAUGAAUAAGCACCGGCUAACUCCGUGCCAGCAGCCGCGGUAAUACGGAGGGUGCAAGCGUUGUCCGGGAUUUAUUGGGUUUAAAGGGUGCGUAGGCGGCUGUUUAAGUCAGUGGUGAAAGACUCCGGCUCAACCGGAGCAGUGCCA
RNAcentral lists this ribosomal RNA (577 nucleotides) under uncultured Algoriphagus sp. RNAcentral describes it as "bacterial SSU rRNA". It matches the Rfam family "Bacterial small subunit ribosomal RNA", at positions 52 to 626 of the family's 1533-position model. The record is from RNAcentral. Lineage: Bacteria; Pseudomonadati; Bacteroidota; Cytophagia; Cytophagales; Cyclobacteriaceae.